GUGCCAGCCGCCGCGGUAAUACGGAGGAUGCAAGCGUUAUCCGGAUUCACUGGGUUUAAAGGGUGCGCAGGCGGACAUUUAAGUCAGGGGUGAAAUCCUACAGCUUAACUGUAGAACUGCCCUUGAUACUGAAUGCCUAGAGUAAAGCUGAAGUGGGCGGAAUGUGUUGUGUAGCGGUGAAAUGCUUAGAUAUAACACAGAACACCAAUCGCGAAGGCAGCUCACUAAACUUUAACUGACGCUCAUGCACGAAAGCGUGGGGAGCAAACAGGAUUAGAUACCCUGGUAGUCCACGCCCUAAACGAUGAUCACUCGCUGUUGGCGAUAUAUUGUCAGUGGCUAAGCAAAAGUGAUAAGUGAUCCACCUGGGGAGUACGACCGCAAGGUUGAAACUCAAAUAAAUUGACGG
Molecule: ribosomal RNA, 409 nt
Filed under: uncultured bacterium
Lineage: Bacteria
Description: bacterial SSU rRNA
Rfam family: Bacterial small subunit ribosomal RNA
Source: RNAcentral